GUUUCUGUAGUGUAGUGGUUACCACGUUUGCCUAACACGUGAAAGGUCCCUGGUUCGAAACCGCAUGGAAACA
Ovis aries (sheep) is the source of this 73-nucleotide transfer RNA. It matches the Rfam family "tRNA". From Rfam's summary of the family: Transfer RNA (tRNA) molecules are approximately 80 nucleotides in length. Their secondary structure includes four short double-helical elements and three loops (D, anti-codon, and T loops). The record is from Rfam. Lineage: Eukaryota; Metazoa; Chordata; Mammalia; Artiodactyla; Bovidae.